GGCCUUGGUCCCCAGGGACAACUUCCCUAACACAGGGAUUCCCCAGAAGUCCAGGGUCAGAGGCAGACAUGACUUCUGGUCUGGACCAAUGACACAGAGCACCAAGAGAGCCAGGAGCCAGGAUGGAAGGGGUGUGGCCAGCAAUGGAGAGUAGGCAGCAGGCACGAAAUGGGGAACCAGGAUAGGGAGACCAGCAGCAAGAAGCACGCACCCCCUGGGGAAACUCGCAGACUAAAGUAUCACAGAGCAGGCCCAGUUCAUGAGUACCAGAGGCCCAGGACCCCAAGGACACUGACUGCCUGAGUGUACCCAAGUAUCCCUGUCCCAAGCCUCAGGAGCCACAUAGUGCCCCUAGGACUCUGUAGGGUGAUCUGACUGGAAACAGCUCUGCCAGCCCAGCUGAGGGGACCAACCAUGCCCUGGCGAAACACCUGCAGAAAGAACCCUGCACCAUGUGACAUGCCCAGUGUCCAGGCCAACAGAGCUCCACGUGGCGAAAGACCGAACAAGGGUGCCAGUCCCCAGCUCCCUACAGCAGAGGCUGCCUGCCUGGGACAGAACAGGAUACAGCGGGACACAGGCCACAGUUAGCUCAAGAGUUCUACAUACUGGUCCUCAAGUUGCCCUAGGAUCUUCUGAUUGACGGGUCCGGCUCAUGACCCCAGCCAAUUUGCCCCACUCUGUCUGUACAUAGAUAGAGGAAAAGAAUCAUACAAUUAACUACUUCAAGGUGAGAGAUAUUUUGUGUAAUACCAAACAUCAAGAUGCAAUAACAAAAAUGUUUAAAAUGAAGAGUUA
Molecule: long non-coding RNA, 798 nt
Filed under: Fukomys damarensis (Damara mole-rat)
Lineage: Eukaryota; Metazoa; Chordata; Mammalia; Rodentia; Bathyergidae
Description: lncRNA (ENSFDAG00000029423.1)
Source: RNAcentral